CCCCGCUCGACAACAGUGGGGAAGAGGGCAAUGAUGA
This 37-nucleotide non-coding RNA is filed under the name Palpitomonas bilix. The record is from RNAcentral.